This 429-nucleotide ribosomal RNA is filed under the name Chloroflexota bacterium. RNAcentral describes it as "Chloroflexi bacterium partial 16S ribosomal RNA". It matches the Rfam family "Bacterial small subunit ribosomal RNA", at positions 355 to 776 of the family's 1533-position model. Lineage: Bacteria; Bacillati; Chloroflexota. The record is from RNAcentral.
UGGGGAAUAUUGCACAAUGGGCGCAAGCCUGAUGCAGCCAUGCCGCGUGUAUGAAGAAGGCCUUCGGGUUGUAAAGUACUUUCAGCGGGGAGGAAGGGAGUAAAGUUAAUACCAUUGCUCAUUGACGUUACCCGCAGAAGAAGCACCGGCGAACUCCGUGCCAGCAGCCGCGGUAAUACGGAGGGUGCAAGCGUUAAUCGGAAUUACUGGGCGUAAAGCGCACGCAGGCGGUUGAUUGAAUCCGAUGUGAAAUCCCCUGGCUUAACCCGGGAAUUGCAUCUGAGACUGGUCAGCUAGAGUCUUGUAGAGGGGGGUAGAAUUCCAUGUGUAGCGGUGAAAUGCGUAGAGAUGUGGAGGAAUACCGGUGGCGAAGGCAGCCCCCUGGACAAAGACUGACGCUCAGGUGCGAAAGCGUGGGGAGCAAACAGG